RNAcentral lists this unclassified non-coding RNA (223 nucleotides) under plant metagenome. RNAcentral describes it as "partial contains small subunit ribosomal RNA, internal transcribed spacer 1, and 5.8S ribosomal RNA". The record is from RNAcentral.
UUUCCGUAGGUGAACCUGCGGAAGGAUCAUUACAGUGUACUCUGCCCUCACGGGUAGAAACGCCCACCCCUGUGUAUUAUAUCUUUGUUGCUUUGGCAGGCCGCCCUCGGGCACCGGCUCCGGCUGGAUCGCGCCUGCCAGAGGAAACCCAAACUCUGAAUGUUAGUGUCGUCUGAGUACUAUCUAAUAGUUAAAACUUUCAACAACGGAUCUCUUGGUUCUG